UUCCGGUUGAUCCCGCCGGACCUGACUGCUAUCGGAUUGAUACUAAGCCAUGCGAGUCAUUGUAGCAAUACAAGGCAGACGGCUCAGUAACGCGUAGUCAACCUAACCUAUGGACGGGAAUAACCUCGGGAAACUGAGAAUAAUGCCCGAUAGAACACUAUACCUGGAAUGGUUUGUGUUCCAAAUGAUUUAUCGCCGUAGGAUGGGACUGCGGCCUAUCAGUUUGUUGGUGAGGUAAUGGCCCACCAAGACUAUUACAGGUACGGGCUCUGAGAGGAGUAGCCCGGAGAUGGGUACUGAGACACGGACCCAGGCCCUAUGGGGCGCAGCAGGCGAGAAAACUUUGCAAUGUGCGAAAGCACGACAAGGUUAAUCCGAGUGAUUUGUGCUAAACGAAUCUUUUGUUAGUCCUAGAACCACUAACGAAUAAGGGGUGGGCAAGUUCUGGUGUCAGCCGCCGCGGUAAAACCAGCACCUCAAGUGGUCAGGAUGAUUAUUGGGCCUAAAGCAUCCGUAGCCGGCUCUGUAAGUUUUCGGUUAAAUCUGUACGCUUAACGUACAGGCUGCCGGGAAUACUGCAGAGCUAGGGAGUGGGAGAGGUAGACGGUACUCGGUAGGAAGGGGUAAAUCCUUUGAUCUA
This 640-nucleotide ribosomal RNA is filed under the name uncultured archaeon. RNAcentral's name for it is "bacterial SSU rRNA". It matches the Rfam family "Archaeal small subunit ribosomal RNA", at positions 1 to 649 of the family's 1478-position model. The record is from RNAcentral.